Long non-coding RNA from Peromyscus maniculatus bairdii (prairie deer mouse), 1190 nucleotides. RefSeq lists it as uncharacterized. The record is from RefSeq and is a predicted model, not a curated record. Lineage: Eukaryota; Metazoa; Chordata; Mammalia; Rodentia; Cricetidae.
AGGAGUGACGGACGGCGUGAGGGGCGGGGUCUGGGGAUGGAUGUCAGCCAAGGUGGUUGGAAGCGGUUGGAGGCAGUUGAAGAGGGACAGUCUUCUUUAGCUGUUGUCCUGAAGUGAGCACCCAAGAAGAAGCUCUUGGAUUCCCGGGAGAUAAAGGGAUGCUGGGAACUGGGCGGUUACGGCGGUUGGACUCCUGGCUGCGGGUUUGGGCUCCUGGUUGGAAGAUGGACGGAAGGACCAGGACGGCCUCCCCGGUUUCAGUGAGCAUAAGGAUUUGAACUACUGGACCAUGGUGACCCCAUUCCUGGUACCGACAGCCACUUGCCAGGAAGGCUGGGGCUAAUGAACAUUUCCCUGGACACCUAAGGAGGCCUCUACCCUGUCUUCUCUGUGGAAGAUUCCAUGGUCCACUUUGGAGAGCUCUGUCUUCUUGUGUCUGCGAAGCUUUGAUGGAGUAGGAAAGCAUGUGAUCUCCCAGGAGAACUUGAGCAGCGUCUGAACUGCCUUCCACUUUGAGAAGCGUUUUCUUGGAACUUGCCCUUUUGAGGGUGAAGCCUGGCAUGUUUAACCUUGUCUGGUCUCUGACUUGCUUUCCCAUGGCUUUUACCGAGGCUCCGUUGAACACUCGUCACAUACAGGAGCCGACUAUGACUUGCUCUGUCUUUGCAAUAGCAGCAUGAUUUCCUGGUGAUUGUAAGACAUCUCUCCAGUGUCAUUACCCGCCUGGGAAGGUCCCUUGAGAAUCACAUUCACAGCAGUAGUCAGACAUCCUUCUCCAGCCAUGUGAAGGUUUUGUUCUUCCCCACACCAACGCUUGCUUGCUUCCUGUCUUCUUAUACUAUUCUUCCGGUUUAGCAAGAAAUCCACUGGGGUCUGCUUAAAGGGUAAAGGAAUUUAUUAGGAAAGAAAACUCUCUAAACAGAAUAGGAGAAUCGUCAUAGGGUCCUGGAAUGGUGAGGUACUAUCCUCUGCUGCUCCAGCCACCUGAGUCUGUCCGCACCAUCCAAGCCCACGUGGGAGAGUAGAGACCAGGGUACAUGUGUCUCAGGUCUUACGGGUGGCCCAGAGGCCAUUCCCCAGGGGCAGGUACUUCAAGGUCAUAUGUAACAUGAAUUGCUAAAUGGUCUUAAUAGAAAACCUGGAGCCAAAUAUCGAGGUGAAGGCUGAAAGAUCAGAGAAGCAGAACAAGC